RNAcentral lists this ribosomal RNA (253 nucleotides) under uncultured bacterium. Its description in RNAcentral is "partial 16S ribosomal RNA". It matches the Rfam family "Bacterial small subunit ribosomal RNA", at positions 524 to 776 of the family's 1533-position model. The record is from RNAcentral.
UACGUAGGGUGCAAGCGUUGUCCGGAAUUAUUGGGCGUAAAGAGCUCGUAGGCGGUCUGUCGCGUCGGCUGUGAAAACUCGGGGCUCAACUCCGAGCUUGCAGUCGAUACGGGCAGGCUAGAGUUCGGCAGGGGAGACUGGAAUUCCUGGUGUAGCGGUGGAAUGCGUAGAGAUCCGGAAGAACACCGGUGGCGAAGGCGGUCUGCUGGGCCAAGACUGACGCUGAGGCGCGACAGCGUGGGGAGCAAACAGG